RNAcentral lists this ribosomal RNA (484 nucleotides) under uncultured bacterium. RNAcentral's name for it is "partial 16S ribosomal RNA". It matches the Rfam family "Bacterial small subunit ribosomal RNA", at positions 30 to 507 of the family's 1533-position model. The record is from RNAcentral.
AUUGAACGCUGGCGGCAGGCCUAACACAUGCAAGUCGAGCGGAUGAAGGGAGCUUGCUCCUGGAUUCAGCGGCGGACGGGUGAGUAAUGCCUAGGAAUCUGCCUGGUAGUGGGGGAUAACGUCCGGAAACGGGCGCUAAUACCGCAUACGUCCUGAGGGUGAAAGUGGGGGAUCUUCGGACCUCACGCUAUCAGAUGAGCCUAGGUCGGAUUAGCUAGUUGGUGGGGUAAAGGCCUACCAAGGCGGCGAUCCGUAACUGGUCUGAGAGGAUGAUCAGUCACACUGGAACUGAGACACGGUCCAGACUCCUACGGGAGGCAGCAGUGGGGAAUAUUGGACAAUGGGCGAAAGCCUGAUCCAGCCAUGCCGCGUGUGUGAAGAAGGUCUUCGGAUUGUAAAGCACUUUAAGUUGGGAGGAAGGGCAGUAAGUUAAUACCUUGCUGUUUUGACGUUACCAACAGAGUAAGCACCGGCUAACUUCGUG